CCCUUAGAUGUUCUGGGCCGCACGCGCGCUACACUGAUGAACGCAACGAGACCACCUGUACCGAAAGGCAUGGGUAAACUUGUGAAAGUUCAUCGUGAUGGGGAUAGAUUAUUGCAAUUAUUAAUCUUCAACGAGGAAUUCCUAGUAAGCGCGAGUCAUCAGCUCGCGUUGAUUACGUCCCUGCCCUUUGUACACACCGCCCGUCGCUCCUACCGAUUGAAUGGUCCGGUGAAGCCUCCGGAUUGGCGCGCACCUCGGUGCCGCCGAGAAGUUGGCUAAACCUUACCAUUUAGAGGAAGGUGAAGUCGUAACA
Molecule: ribosomal RNA, 313 nt
Filed under: uncultured eukaryote
Lineage: Eukaryota
Description: partial 18S ribosomal RNA
Rfam family: Eukaryotic small subunit ribosomal RNA
Source: RNAcentral